Molecule: ribosomal RNA, 251 nt
Filed under: uncultured prokaryote
Description: partial 16S rRNA
Rfam family: Bacterial small subunit ribosomal RNA
Source: RNAcentral
ACGUAGGUGGCAAGCGUUGUCCGGAUUUACUGGGUGUAAAGGGCGCGUAGGCGGGAGGGCAAGUCAGAUGUGAAAAUCCACGGCUUAACUGUGGAAGUGCAUUUGAAACUGCUCUUCUUGAGUACUGGAGAGGCAGGCGGAAUUCCCAGUGUAGCGGUGAAAUGCAUAGAUAUUGGGAGGAACACCAGUGGCGAAGGCGGCCUGCUGGACAGCAACUGACGCUGAGGCGCGAAAGCGUGGGGAGCAAACAG